Molecule: unclassified non-coding RNA, 302 nt
Filed under: Hevea brasiliensis (rubber tree)
Lineage: Eukaryota; Viridiplantae; Streptophyta; Magnoliopsida; Malpighiales; Euphorbiaceae
Source: RNAcentral
AGGCAGUAAGCCUAAUGCUGCAGUAGAAAAAGAAGGAAAGACUUGUCAGGCAUUAAGAGAGAAUAUCUGUUAAAGCAGAAACUAUUGAGAGGAUAUCAACUCAUUUUUGAAGUAUGCUAGUGCUCUUUUAAGUGUAGUGAAUUAAUAAUCCCAUUAAGCCAAUGCCCCUUGGACAGGUUAGGAUAUCCAUGAAAAUAUUUUGCAUAAUUUGGAUGGUACAGAUUCAUAUCACAAGUAUAAAUGAUAGUAAACUGAAAAGCACCAUAGUUUUCAUAAGAAUGAGUAUGAACUCUUCAAGAUGG